Molecule: ribosomal RNA, 720 nt
Filed under: uncultured bacterium
Lineage: Bacteria
Description: bacterial SSU rRNA
Rfam family: Bacterial small subunit ribosomal RNA
Source: RNAcentral
AGAGUUUGAUCCUGGCUCAGGAUGAACGCUAGCGGCAGGCUUAACACAUGCAAGUAGAACGGUAACAGAGGGAGCUUGCUCCUUGCUGACGAGUUGCGAACGGGUGCGUAACGCGUAUGCAACCUACCCAUAACAGAGGGAUAGCCCAUAGAAAUGUGGAUUAAUACCUCAUAAUAUCAUUGAUUGGCAUCAUGAAAUGAUUAAAACUCAGGUGGUUAUGGAUGGGCAUGCGUGACAUUAGCUAGUUGGUGAGGUAACUGCUCACCAAGGCUACGAUGUCUAGGGGUUCUGAGAGGAUGAUCCCCCACACUGGUACUGAGACACGGACCAGACUCCUACGGGAGGCAGCAGUGAGGAAUAUUGCGCAAUGGAGGAAACUCUGACGCAGCCAUGCCGCGUGCAGGAUGACGGCCCUAUGGGUUGUAAACUGCUUUUAUAUAGGAAGAACUGCAGAUACGUGUAUCUGUUUGACGGUACUAUACGAAUAAGGACCGGCUAACUCCGUGCCAGCAGCCGCGGUAAUACGGAGGGUCCGAGCGUUAUCCGGAUUUAUUGGGUUUAAAGGGUCCGUAGGCGGGUUAUUAAGUCAGUGGUGAAAUCCUACAGCUCAACUGUAGAACUGCCAUUGAAACUGGUAACCUUGAAUAUAAUUGAAGUGGGCGGAAUGUGUCAUGUAGCGGUGAAAUGCUUAGAUAUGCCACAGAACACCGAUUGCGAAAG